Molecule: long non-coding RNA, 178 nt
Organism: Callorhinchus milii (elephant shark)
Lineage: Eukaryota; Metazoa; Chordata; Chondrichthyes; Chimaeriformes; Callorhinchidae
Exons: 3
Source: RefSeq, a predicted model, not a curated record
GAUGAUCCACAUGUGCCUGAUUGUGACUGUACUGGUUUUGCAGAGACUUCAUUAUCACGUGUCUGUGGUGUUCUCGUGAGGGACUGCAGAACAGCAUGUGAAAAUAAGGAUAAUGGCACAGACUGCUCUAAGUGCCUUCCAGUAUGUCCAGAUGAACCCAGUGAAGCUUUGCAAGAGG